RNAcentral lists this small nuclear RNA (178 nucleotides) under Sorex araneus (European shrew). RNAcentral describes it as "U1 spliceosomal RNA (ENSSARG00000016320.1)". It matches the Rfam family "U1 spliceosomal RNA". Rfam says of the family: U1 is a small nuclear RNA (snRNA) component of the spliceosome (involved in pre-mRNA splicing). Lineage: Eukaryota; Metazoa; Chordata; Mammalia; Eulipotyphla; Soricidae. The record is from RNAcentral.
AUACUAAUCUGGCAGGGGAGAUACCAUAAUCACAAAAGUGGUUUUUUCAAGGCUGAGGUUUUUCCACUACAUUCUGAAAUGUAGUGGAUGUGUCACCCUCCCAGCACCUAAAUUUUCUAGUGUGGGAACUUGACUGCUUAAGUUUUGGUAGUGGGAAACUGCAUUUGUGCUCUCCUGU